This 427-nucleotide ribosomal RNA is filed under the name uncultured beta proteobacterium. RNAcentral's name for it is "bacterial SSU rRNA". It matches the Rfam family "Bacterial small subunit ribosomal RNA", at positions 355 to 774 of the family's 1533-position model. The record is from RNAcentral. Lineage: Bacteria; Pseudomonadati; Pseudomonadota; Betaproteobacteria.
UGGGGAAUUUUGGACAAUGGGCGAAAGCCUGAUCCAGCCAUGCCGCGUGAGUGAAGAAGGCCUUCGGGUUGUAAAGCUCUUUUAGUCGGAAAGAAAAGAUCAUAAUGAACAAUUAUGAUUCAUGACGGGACCGACAGAAAAAGCACCGGCUAACUACGUGCCAGCAGCCGCGGUAAUACGUAGGGUGCGAGCGUUAAUCGGAAUUACUGGGCGUAAAGGGUGCGCAGGCGGUUUUGUAAGUCAGAUGUGAAAUCCCCGGGCUUAACCUGGGAAUUGCGUUUGAAACUGCAAGACUAGAGUGCAGCAGAGGGGAGUGGAAUUCCAUGUGUAGCAGUGAAAUGCGUAGAGAUGUGGAAGAACACCGAUGGCGAAGGCAGCUCCCUGGGUUGACACUGACGCUCAUGCACGAAAGCGUGGGGAUCAAACA